RNAcentral lists this ribosomal RNA (443 nucleotides) under uncultured bacterium. RNAcentral describes it as "partial 16S ribosomal RNA". It matches the Rfam family "Bacterial small subunit ribosomal RNA", at positions 338 to 795 of the family's 1533-position model. The record is from RNAcentral.
CCUACGGGCGGCAGCAGUGGGGAAUAUUGGGCAAUGGAGGAAACUCUGACCCAGCAACGCCGCGUGAAUGAUGAAGGUCUUCGGAUUGUACAGUUCUUUUCUAAGGGAAGAAGAAAGUGACGGUACCUUAGGAAUAAGCCUCGGCUAACUACGUGCCAGCAGCCGCGGUAAUACGUAGGAGGCGAGCGUUAUCCGGAAUGACUGGGCGUAAAGGGUGCGUAGGUGGGUUGGCAAGGUAGUAGCGUAACUCCAAGGCUCAACCUUGGAACUACUACUAAAACUGUUGGACUUGAGUGCAGGAGGGGUAACCGGAAUGCGUGGUGUAGCGGUGGAAUGCGUAGAUAUUAGGCAGAACACCAGUUGCGAAGGCAGGUUGCUAGACUGUAACUGACACUGAGGCACGAAAGCGUGGGGAGCAAACAGGAUUAGAUACCCGUGUAGUC